GCCCGCCUUGCCCAAAGGAUGUGCCACUCAUCCGACAGUCCCCAGAGUCACAGCUGCUGCUAGAGGGCGAUUCUGUACACUUCCUUGUCGUCAUGUGCCCUGACUUCCUGCCACAAGGGCAGCUGCUACAGAGUAGGAGUGAUAAUCUUCAAGACAGGAGUGACAGGGAGAAGGGCCUCGUGCAAAGACUCAGCCAGGACCAAUAGUGACAACCAUAACGCCCAGCGUUUGACAACCUUAGGAUCACCAUGGGGCUAAGUGGAAACUGGACUCAGAGAAGGUUGGUGACUUGCCCCGGAGGAAAUGGUAACACUGAGAUCACACCCAGGCUUCCUGACCCCAAAGUACUGCCUUGUCCCUUCGUUGUCCUCCAUUUCUUCAUUCCAGGAGUCUUCAUGGGACGGAGGGGACCUACCUGCCAGAUUCUGUCGCUCACCUCCCACCAGCRGGGGAAGCAGGGCCCGUGGCAGAGUCGGUGCAGCAGUGUGGGCUUCACUGAGAAGUGAGGGCAUCUCAUUGCCUGAAUCUGUGCAAGUCAAACUCAAGCUUCUCCAAGGCUGGACUGUUCCAAUCUAGCACCUCUUCUCAAAAAACACCCAGUGUGUCUCUGUUAAAUGGUAAUUUUCAGAAUUUUGGCUCAUGCUCAAAGCUGAAAGGUGGCCACAAAUAGGACCCAGAUCCCGUGGUUCAUCACCCCUUUCCAUCUAGACAAACUCAAGAGACUUGGAGUAAAGUGUUUCUUUGAAGGAAGUUGUCCCACAGCCCAGGACACCUGUGUGACAUCCUGCUUCCCUCUUCACAGUCGGGGGAUGAGGUGUGUUCUUGGUCCAUCUCAGCCCCAGGGGACAGCAGAGUGGAGAGUGACGGCCACCUGAGAGCAAGCUCCAUCUCCUCAGUGGRUGAAGCAAGGGUGCGGGUUUCCCUGUGAGUGGGUGGACUGCUCUACCUGUGGCUAAGCUGGAGUCAUCUUGAAAGGACCCCCUCAGGAGGCCUGUCUGCAGCAGGAAGUCUGGAGGCAUUCCCUCUGAGCAGGAGCCCAGGGCAGUGCUGCUGGURGCCAGCCAAGGAACGCAUCAUCCGUGCCGGGGUGUGCAGUGUCAGAGAUUCCAGGGCUUGAAGGACUCAGAGAAUCGAACAUCUGGACAUCUGCCACGCAGACGGCCUCGGGCCCAGUUACGCCAGCAGCUGUCAAAUGAGAUUUCCCCCAUUCUCCUCCUCCUCACCCAUCCAGAGGCAGGAGGCGGGUGGGGAGGAGGGAGCAGGAGCCGGGAGGCCCAGAGAAAGCACAAAGCUGUGUCUCCCUUGCCCAAGGCAGGAAGCAGAGCCGGCUGCCCUAAGCUGGGGAUUAGAAGACAAACUUAGCAUUGGGUGAGAAGGUGAAGUUUUAAUUUAAAUCAAAUUGAACUUUUUAAUACUCAAAAAAAAUGAGUCUGUUAUGAUACUUAAAAUUACCAGAAAAGCUACUAUUUCUGCUUGAGAUAUUAUCUAGGAAUAGACUAGGGGUUUCCAACAGAGACCAUUUGAAGAGUCAUAGUGAGGGGAAAAUAAACUUCUUUUUGGAUUCCUCUCUACCA
Molecule: long non-coding RNA, 1574 nt
Organism: Urocitellus parryii (Arctic ground squirrel)
Lineage: Eukaryota; Metazoa; Chordata; Mammalia; Rodentia; Sciuridae
Source: Ensembl